GCUGCUCCUAGUACGAGAGGACCGGAGUGGACGCAUCACUGGUGUUCGGGUUGUCAUGCCAAUGGCACUGCCCGGUAGCUAAAUGCGGAAGAGAUAAGUGCUGAAAGCAUCUAAGCACGAAACUUGCCCCGAGAUGAGUUCUCCCUGACUCCUUGAGAGUCCUGAAGGAACGUUGAAGACGACGACGUUGAUAGGCCGGGUGUGUAAGCGCAGCGAUGCGUUGAGCUAACCGGUACUAAUGAACCGUGAGGCUUAACCUU
Molecule: ribosomal RNA, 260 nt
Filed under: Escherichia coli
Lineage: Bacteria; Pseudomonadati; Pseudomonadota; Gammaproteobacteria; Enterobacterales; Enterobacteriaceae
Also listed under: 2 other names
Description: partial 23S ribosomal RNA
Rfam family: Bacterial large subunit ribosomal RNA
Source: RNAcentral